Long non-coding RNA from Salvelinus namaycush (lake trout), 695 nucleotides. RefSeq lists it as uncharacterized. The record is from RefSeq and is a predicted model, not a curated record. The transcript has 3 exons. NCBI's taxonomy places the organism in Eukaryota, Metazoa, Chordata, Actinopteri, Salmoniformes, Salmonidae.
CAGGACUACUCUGGUCAUACGGUUGAUGGAAGGUCUGAAAGGAGGUGAGGAACUGACAGUAGACCAGCUCAGUGUACAACUGAAGACUCUGGCUAAGAAGACCAGCAACACAAAAUACAGAGAUGUUAUGAAGAUUAUACGACUGGCCCUCAGCGGACUACAGCAAGGCCCCAGUGUAGCAGAGAUGAUGGUAUCGUUGGGACCCAGUGAGAUCACACAUCGCUUCAACAGAGUUCUGCAGCACUGAACAUUGUAGUUGCAUACCACAUGGCACCCUAUUCCCUAUAUAGUGCACUACUUUUGUCCAGGGCCCUAUAGUGCAAAAGCAGUGCAUUAUUAUACAGAUGAGUCACAAAGGGCACCCUAUUCCCUCUCGCAGGAACACCUGAAGACUAGGUUGUAAUAAUGUGUUACCAAUUCGAAGAGAAAACAGACUGAAACCGGGAGGGACUACUUGAACUUGUCCAAUAAGAAACGUCCAUUUUCAUAUUCCGCCGCAAAAACGUUUUGCUACGUUGUGCCAUAAUGAAUAUGACCCUGGUUCAUUAUUCUAACUGGUUACCUGAUUGUAACACAGCAACACUGAGGACUGGUUUUCUGAUCCUAACAAUAUUCCUGGACUGUAUAUGAUCUCAAUCACACUUGACUUGUAAUGGACAGUCAGUCGAUCUGGAAAUUUUUGCAAUAAAACAAGU